This 1433-nucleotide ribosomal RNA is filed under the name Escherichia coli. Its description in RNAcentral is "partial 23S ribosomal RNA". It matches the Rfam family "Bacterial large subunit ribosomal RNA", at positions 1530 to 2925 of the family's 2925-position model. The record is from RNAcentral. Lineage: Bacteria; Pseudomonadati; Pseudomonadota; Gammaproteobacteria; Enterobacterales; Enterobacteriaceae.
UUCCAGGCAAAUCCGGAAAAUCAAGGCUGAGGCGUGAUGACGAGGCACUACGGUGCUGAAGCGACAAAUGCCCUGCUUCCAGGAAAAGCCUCUAAGCAUCAGGUAACAUCAAAUCGUACCCCAAACCGACACAGGUGGUCAGGUAGAGAAUACCAAGGCGCUUGAGAGAACUCGGGUGAAGGAACUAGGCAAAAUGGUGCCGUAACUUCGGGAGAAGGCACGCUGAUAUGUAGGUGAAGCGACUUGCUCGUGGAGCUGAAAUCAGUCGAAGAUACCAGCUGGCUGCAACUGUUUAUUAAAAACACAGCACUGUGCAAACACGAAAGUGGACGUAUACGGUGUGACGCCUGCCCGGUGCCGGAAGGUUAAUUGAUGGGGUUAGCGGUAACGCGAAGCUCUUGAUCGAAGCCCCGGUAAACGGCGGCCGUAACUAUAACGGUCCUAAGGUAGCGAAAUUCCUUGUCGGGUAAGUUCCGACCUGCACGAAUGGCGUAAUGAUGGCCAGGCUGUCUCCACCCGAGACUCAGUGAAAUUGAACUCGCUGUGAAGAUGCAGUGUACCCGCGGCAAGACGGAAAGACCCCGUGAACCUUUACUAUAGCUUGACACUGAACAUUGAGCCUUGAUGUGUAGGAUAGGUGGGAGGCUUUGAAGUGUGGACGCCAGUCUGCAUGGAGCCGACCUUGAAAUACCACCCUUUAAUGUUUGAUGUUCUAACGUGGGCCCCUUACCGGGGUUGCGGACAGUGUCUGGUGGGUAGUUUGACUGGGGCGGUCUCCUCCUAAAGAGUAACGGAGGAGCACGAAGGUUGGCUAAUCCUGGUCGGACAUCAGGAGGUUAGUGCAAUGGCAUAAGCCAGCUUGACUGCGAGCGUGACGGCGCGAGCAGGUGCGAAAGCAGGUCAUAGUGAUCCGGUGGUUCUGAAUGGAAGGGCCAUCGCUCAACGGAUAAAAGGUACUCCGGGGAUAACAGGCUGAUACCGCCCAAGAGUUCAUAUCGACGGCGGUGUUUGGCACCUCGAUGUCGGCUCAUCACAUCCUGGGGCUGAAGUAGGUCCCAAGGGUAUGGCUGUUCGCCAUUUAAAGUGGUACGCGAGCUGGGUUUAGAACGUCGUGAGACAGUUCGGUCCCUAUCUGCCGUGGGCGCUGGAGAACUGAGGGGGGCUGCUCCUAGUACGAGAGGACCGGAGUGGACGCAUCACUGGUGUUCGGGUUGUCAUGCCAAUGGCACUGCCCGGUAGCUAAAUGCGGAAGAGAUAAGUGCUGAAAGCAUCUAAGCACGAAACUUGCCCCGAGAUGAGUUCUCCCUGACUCCUUGAGAGUCCUGAAGGAACGUUGAAGACGACGACGUUGAUAGGCCGGGUGUGUAAGCGCAGCGAUGCGUUGAGCUAACCGGUACUAAUGAACCGUGAGGCUUAACCUUACAACGCCGAAG